UCGGAGAGUUCUCCGGUU
Molecule: small nuclear RNA, 18 nt
Filed under: Arabidopsis thaliana (thale cress)
Lineage: Eukaryota; Viridiplantae; Streptophyta; Magnoliopsida; Brassicales; Brassicaceae
Description: snRNA_05354
Source: RNAcentral